This 467-nucleotide ribosomal RNA is filed under the name uncultured bacterium. Its description in RNAcentral is "partial 16S ribosomal RNA". It matches the Rfam family "Bacterial small subunit ribosomal RNA", at positions 28 to 507 of the family's 1533-position model. The record is from RNAcentral.
GACGAACGCUGGCGGCGUGCUUAACACAUGCAAGUCGAACGGAAAGGCCUCUUUCGGGGGGUACUCGAGUGGCGAACGGGUGAGUAACACGUGAGUAACCUGCCCUUGACUUUGGGAUAACUUCAGGAAACUGGGGCUAAUACCGGAUAGGAGCUCCUGCUGCAUGGUGGGGGUUGGAAAGUUUCGGCGGUUGGGGAUGGACUCGCGGCUUAUCAGCUUGUUGGUGGGGUAGUGGCUUACCAAGGCUUUGACGGGUAGCCGGCCUGAGAGGGUGACCGGCCACAUUGGGACUGAGAUACGGCCCAGACGCCUACGGGAGGCAGAAGGGGGGAAGAUUGCACAAGGGGUGGAGGCCGGAUGCAGCACCGCCGUGGGCGGGAUGACGGCCUUCGGGUUGAAAACCGCUUUCGCUCAUGACGAAGCUUUGUGUGACGGUAGUGGGUAAAGAAGCACCGGCUAACUACGUG